GGGUGCGCCUAUUGUCGGGCUGAUUCCGUGCUAAAUCCUUGGUAAAAAGGACAGAAUAACCUCAAUAAUCACAUCCAAGCAACAAACCAACACGGAAAGAGAGGUUCGAGGCUUACCUAACCAUAACCCAUGAAGAACUCGCCGGAGGUUCUUGGGGUUUCGUCGAGUUGCGCAGCGACAGGAGAGAGAGAAAGAGAGAGAGAGAGACGACGGCGUGUAGAAGGUGAUGACGAUGCCGUCGACGGAGUACCACGAAGGGUGUGCGUGGGUGCUCUCGGGUGUGGGUCAAAG
Molecule: long non-coding RNA, 291 nt
Filed under: Malus domestica (apple)
Lineage: Eukaryota; Viridiplantae; Streptophyta; Magnoliopsida; Rosales; Rosaceae
Description: long non-coding RNA (MDOM_LNC005754)
Source: RNAcentral